UGGGCAACCUGCCCCUCUCUCUGGGAUAACCCCGGGAAACCGGAGCUAAUACCGGAUACUCCGGCUGGAUCGCAUGGUCCGGCCGGGAAAGGUCCGCCGGAGAGGGAUGGGCCCGCGGCCUAUCAGCUUGUUGGUGGGGUAAUGGCUCACCAAGGCGACGACGGAUAACCGGCCUGAGAGGGCGACCGGUCACACUGGGACUGAGACACGGCCCAGACUCCUACGGGAGCA
RNAcentral lists this ribosomal RNA (231 nucleotides) under uncultured bacterium. Its description in RNAcentral is "partial 16S ribosomal RNA". It matches the Rfam family "Bacterial small subunit ribosomal RNA", at positions 118 to 347 of the family's 1533-position model. The record is from RNAcentral.